AGUUUGAUCCUGGCUCAGAACGAACGCUGGCGGCGUGGUUAAAGCAUGCAAGUCGAACGGAACUCNUUUGGGGGUAACUCUGGGUGAGUUUAGUGGCGAACGGGUGAGGAAUACAUGGGUAACGUACCCCGGACUCAGGAAUANCGGCGGGAGCUUGCUCCCUUUGCGAAAGUGCCGGUAAUAUCUGAUGAACCAGUANCAUCGCAUGGUGCAUCUGGCAAAGGUCCGCAGGUCUGGGAGCGGCCCAUGUCCUAUCAGCUUGUUGGUGAGGUAAUGGCUCACCAAGGCAACGACGGGUAGCGGGCGUGANAGCGUGGCCCGCCNCAUCGGGACUGAGACACUGCCCGGACACCUACGGGUGGCUGCANCAACGAAUAUUCCGCAAUGAGCGAAAGCCUGACGGAGCGACGCCGCGUGAAGGAUGAAGUCUUUCGGGAUGUAAACUUCUGUCAGGGAUUAGGAACACAAUGACCAAUCCCAAAGGAAGCACCGGCUAAUUCCGUGCCAGCAGCCGCGGUAACACGGAAGGUGCAAGCGUUGUUCGGAAUUACUGGGCUUAAAGAGCGUGUANGCGGAAUGGUAGGUGCUUUGUGAAAUCCCUCGGCUCANCCGAGGAACUGCGAGGCAAACCCCCAUUCUUGAGACAGGUAGAGGCGACUGGAACGUUCGGUGGAGCGGUG
Molecule: ribosomal RNA, 680 nt
Filed under: uncultured bacterium
Lineage: Bacteria
Description: bacterial SSU rRNA
Rfam family: Bacterial small subunit ribosomal RNA
Source: RNAcentral